This 301-nucleotide ribosomal RNA is filed under the name uncultured bacterium. Its description in RNAcentral is "partial 16S ribosomal RNA". It matches the Rfam family "Bacterial small subunit ribosomal RNA", at positions 509 to 807 of the family's 1533-position model. The record is from RNAcentral.
CAGUCGCCGCGGGAAUACGAAGGGUGCAAGCGUUACUCGGAAUUACUGGGCGUAAAGCGUGCGUAGGUGGUGGUUUAAGUCCGUUGUGAAAGCCCUGGGCUCAACCUGGGAAUUGCAGUGGAUACUGGGUCACUAGAGUGUGGUAGAGGAUAGUGGAAUUUCCGGUGUAGCAGUGAAAUGCGUAGAGAUCGGAAGGAACAUCUGUGGCGAAGGCGACUAUCUGGGCCAACACUGACACUGGGGCACGAAAGCGUGGGGAUCAAACAGGAUUAGAUACCCCCGUAGUCCCUGUCUCUUAUAC